UGAGGAAUAUUGGGCAAUGCCCGCAAGGGUGACCCAGCAACGCCGCGUGGAGGAUGAAUGUCGUAAGAUUGUAAACUCCUGUUAGAGGGGAAGAAUAGUACCGGUUGGACUGGUAUAUGACUGUACCCUCAGAGAAAGCCCCGGCUAACUACGUGCCAGCAGCCGCGGUAAUACGUAGGGGGCAAGCGUUGUCCGGAUUUACUGGGUGUAAAGGGCGCGCAGGCGGGAUAAAAAGUCAGUGGUGAAAUCCUACAGCUUAACUGUAGAACUGCCUUUGAUACUUUUAUUCUUGAGUUCGGGAGAGAGAGACGGAAUUCCAGGUGUAGUGGUGAAAUACGUAGAUAUCUGGAAGAACACCAGUUGCGAAGGCGGUCUCUUGGUCCGACACUGACGCUGAGGCGCGAAAGCGUGGGGAGCAAACA
This 422-nucleotide ribosomal RNA is filed under the name uncultured bacterium. RNAcentral's name for it is "bacterial SSU rRNA". It matches the Rfam family "Bacterial small subunit ribosomal RNA", at positions 355 to 774 of the family's 1533-position model. The record is from RNAcentral.